UAAUACGAUGGGCUGGUGUUGGUCUGGU
This 28-nucleotide small RNA is filed under the name Bombyx mori (domestic silkworm). Its description in RNAcentral is "ovarian small RNA-19544". Lineage: Eukaryota; Metazoa; Arthropoda; Insecta; Lepidoptera; Bombycidae. The record is from RNAcentral.